GCGCUCAUCGUUUAAUGGAUAGGACGCGGGAUUGCGGAUCCCGUAAUCGAGGUUCGAUUCCUCGUGAGCGCA
This 72-nucleotide transfer RNA is filed under the name Patescibacteria group bacterium. Its description in RNAcentral is "tRNA-Arg". It matches the Rfam family "tRNA". Rfam says of the family: Transfer RNA (tRNA) molecules are approximately 80 nucleotides in length. Their secondary structure includes four short double-helical elements and three loops (D, anti-codon, and T loops). The record is from RNAcentral.